Molecule: long non-coding RNA, 1242 nt
Filed under: Mustela putorius furo (domestic ferret)
Lineage: Eukaryota; Metazoa; Chordata; Mammalia; Carnivora; Mustelidae
Description: lncRNA (ENSMPUG00000031538.1)
Source: RNAcentral
GCCAUGAGGUGAGAAGGAUGAUGACAAAAGCCAACACACUAGGAAUGAUGGAGUAAAAUGGCGCCAAGAGUCUGGAUGCUUGGUCUUUUCACUAGGCUGCUCUGUUAACCCCAGACACCCUUACCUGUUUAAGCCUCUGUUACUGGCAACAAACAAGCGCCCACUAGACUACUGAAAUGACCUGUUCUCUUGCAGUCCAGAAACCGGCACCAUGGGAAGGUGGAUUAGACACAGGGUGAGGGGCCAUGAAGCAGAAGAAACAAAGAGUGCCGGGGCACCAUUCUUUCUCUGGCAAACGGUGGCUACAGUGGGCAUGCAUUGUCUAUGGCAUGUAUUGGACCCUUCUUAAAGUCUGGUGAGAGAAACAGGAAUAGCCAUGAACACAGUUUACAAAAUAGCUCCCCUUAAAGUCCUAACCUUGAGAAAUUUAAGAAAGACCGAAAUUCUCAGCAUUAUCAAAUGACCUGCCACGAGAAGGACCUCUGAAUACAGGCCAGCAAGAGAGAGAUGCGGGAAGGUAUAGUGUGUAAAAGAGAAUUAGGGCAUAACAAAAGCCAGGCUCUAAAUACUAAAUAGAGCCCGGGAAGAGAGAUUUCUUCAACGGCUCCCGGCCUAGAGCUGAUCAGUUCUGUAUCAGAAUACGUCAUUUGUUCCUCCACAGAGGCACUGAAGAGAGGCUCCACUAGCUGAAAACUCAUCACGGUGCUCAGGACAGAGGAUGUAAAGUAAACAAUUGGAGAGCAUGCAGCUUUGCCAGACACGAGAGAUGAACUUUUUCCAUCUACAACAUACAGAAGAGGAAGCUGAGACUCCGAGAAGUUUCAUCCCACUCAAAGUCAGCAAAGGGAGGAGGAAGCCGUGCCACAGCCCAACCACAGGGCUCUUUCUAUACCCACAAGUUCGUCAGCUUUAAAUUCUAAUGGAAAUGAUUCUACUGGGCCUGACUGAUUGACCCAAUAUUGCUGGAUUCCACAUAUCCACGUGAUGCUGUCCCCUCUGUAUGAGGAUUUAAGUGUGGAAAAUUGUAAUGGAUGCCACAAGAAGAAAAAAAAUGGAAAUGGGAAAGAAUAAGUCAAAGUUCCAACAUUUACUCCCAGACUUCAUCAUGAAGUAAUAAAAUUCUCUCUGCCAAGAAAAAUCUCUCUCAUCCUUUAAGGCUUGGCUUAAGAGUUACGUUGUCAGUCCUUCCUCCAGUCUCCCCUCUGCAUCGAGGGACCACAUUCCUCCACCUCUGCGCUUUCU